This 253-nucleotide ribosomal RNA is filed under the name uncultured bacterium. RNAcentral describes it as "partial 16S ribosomal RNA". It matches the Rfam family "Bacterial small subunit ribosomal RNA", at positions 524 to 776 of the family's 1533-position model. The record is from RNAcentral.
UACGUAGGGGGCGAGCGUUGUCCGGAAUCAUUGGGCGUAAAGCGCGUGUAGGCGGCCCGGUAAGUCCGCUGUGAAAGUCCAGGGCUCAACCCUGGGAUGCCGGUGGAUACUGUCGGGCUCGAGUCCGGAAGAGGCGAGUGGAAUUCCUGGUGUAGCGGUGAAAUGCGCAGAUAUCAGGAGGAACACCAAUGGCGAAGGCAGCUCGCUGGGACGGUACUGACGCUGAGGCGCGAAAGCGUGGGGAGCAAACAGG